RNAcentral lists this small RNA (1114 nucleotides) under Pan troglodytes (chimpanzee). Its description in RNAcentral is "processed transcript". The record is from RNAcentral. Lineage: Eukaryota; Metazoa; Chordata; Mammalia; Primates; Hominidae.
AGGAAGGUUGUUUACCAGUUAAACUCCAACCAUUUGCAUCUUAGUGCACAUGCUUGAGCCCAGUAGCCCACCUCCUGAGAUCGUAUAAAGAAGCUGCUGGUCACCAGUUUCAGGUGUUUUCUCUGAGGGAAAGGGAGACGGCCAUUCCCUGGCACCAGCUGCAACCAAUUGUUUUAGCGAGACAGUUUAACAACUGCCUGACCUUCAUCUGAUGGUCGCCUGACAUUCCUGGUGAAUAUUGGAUUGAUCCUAACCAAGGUUGCUCAGGAGAUUCCUUCAAAGUUUACUGUAAUUUCACAUCUGGUGGUGAGACUUGCAUUUAUCCAGACAAAAAAUCUGAGGGAGUAAGAAUUUCAUCAUGGCCAAAGGAGAAACCAGGAAGUUGGUUUAGUGAAUUUAAAAGGGGAAAACUGCUUUCAUACUUAGAUGUUGAAGGAAAUUCCAUCAAUAUGGUGCAAAUGACAUUCCUGAAACUUCUGACUGCCUCUGCUCGGCAAAAUUUCACCUACCACUGUCAUCAGUCAGCAGCCUGGUAUGAUGUGUCAUCAGGAAGUUAUGACAAAGCACUUCGGUUCCUGGGAUCAAAUGAUGAGGAGAUGUCCUAUGACAAUAACCCUUUCAUCAAAGCACUGUAUGAUGGCUGUGCGUCCAGAAAAGGCUAUGAAAAGACUGUCAUUGAAAUCAAUACACCAAAAAUUGACCAAGUACCUAUUGUUGAUGUCAUGAUCAAUGACUUUGGUGAUCAGAAUCAGAAGUUUGGAUUUGAAGUUGGUCCUGUUUGUUUUCUUGGCUAAGAUUAAGACAAAGAACAUAUCAAAUCAACAGAAAAUAUACCUUGGUGCCACCAACCCAUUUUGUGCCACAUGCAAGUUUUGAAUAAGGAUGGUAUAGAAAACAACGCUGCAUAUACAGGUGCCAUUUAGGAAAUACCAAUGCCCUUGUGGGGGCAGAAUCACAUGGCAAAAGCUUUGAAAAUCAUAAAGAUAUAAGUUGGUGUGGCUAAGAUGGAAACAGGGCUGAUUCUUGAUUCCCAAUUCUCAACUCUCCUUUUCCUGUUUGAAUUUCUUUGGUGCUGUAGAAAACAAAAAAAAGAAAAAUAUAUAUUCAUAAAAAA